This 258-nucleotide long non-coding RNA is filed under the name Homo sapiens (human). Its description in RNAcentral is "HSALNT0157668". Lineage: Eukaryota; Metazoa; Chordata; Mammalia; Primates; Hominidae. The record is from RNAcentral.
GGCAGAACAUGUGUGCGCCACGGAGCGGCUGCGUGCAGCCCGCAGGUUAGAAACCCAUUUUUGGAGCAAGCAAGCAGACUGAAUGGAAGUGGUGCUCCUUGAAGAUGGGAGAGAGAGCUGGAGCUCAUCUGUCCUGGCAUCAGAGAACCGUGACUCCGGAGGGUGGGAGAGGCAGGCCCGAGUCAUCUCUGCCCUGGGGCCCCAGUGAGUGAAGCAGCUGCCUCUGUGGCUGCCGACGCUGGCUACGCACAGCAAGGG